This 281-nucleotide long non-coding RNA is filed under the name Lathyrus oleraceus (garden pea). Its description in RNAcentral is "Pisum sativum (pea) long non-coding RNA (PSAT_LNC014184)". The record is from RNAcentral. Lineage: Eukaryota; Viridiplantae; Streptophyta; Magnoliopsida; Fabales; Fabaceae.
UGACAUGAUGUUUUGGGUUUUGUUUGGCAUUUUUACCAGUUAAUACCACUGUUUUGGACACAUGGACAUAUGUUGUGACAUUUGGUGUAUCAUUUUGUGCAUUGUACUUGUGCAUUUUCAUUCAUAUACCUUUUGUUUGCUUCUGGACCUAAUUUUUGGUAUGAUGCUUGUCCAUAACAUGUUGUAUUCACAUAAAAAAUUUCAUGAUCAUUGGAUGUGUUUCUGUUUUAAUGUGGAUUUUAUAUUCUUGAUGUCCAAUUUUGAUCACAUUGCUUGCCUUU